Molecule: ribosomal RNA, 305 nt
Filed under: uncultured bacterium
Lineage: Bacteria
Description: partial 16S ribosomal RNA
Rfam family: Bacterial small subunit ribosomal RNA
Source: RNAcentral
ACAGCAGCAGCCACGGGAACACCGAGGAUGCAAGCGUUAUCCGGAAUGAUUGGGCGUAAAGCGUCUGUAGGUGGCUUUUCAAGUCCGCCGUCAAAUCCCAGGGCUCAACCCUGGACAGGCGGUGGAAACUACCAAGCUGGAGUACGGUAGGGGCAGAGGGAAUUUCCAGUGGAGCGGUGAAAUGCGUUGAAAUCGAAAGAACACCAACAGCGAAAGCACUCUGCUGGGACGACACUGACACUAAGAGACGAAAGCUAGGGGAGCAAAUGGGAUUAGAGACCCGAGUAGUCCCUGUCUCUUAUACA